RNAcentral lists this ribosomal RNA (252 nucleotides) under uncultured bacterium. Its description in RNAcentral is "partial 16S ribosomal RNA". It matches the Rfam family "Bacterial small subunit ribosomal RNA", at positions 524 to 776 of the family's 1533-position model. The record is from RNAcentral.
UACGGGGGGGCAAGCGUUGUUCGGAAUUACUGGGCGUAAAGGCUCGUAGGCGGCCAACUAAGUCAGACGUGAAAUCCCUCGGCUUAACCGGGGAACUGCGUCUGAUACUGGAUGGCUUGAGGUUGGGAGAGGGAUGCGGAAUUCCAGGUGUAGCGGUGAAAUGCGUAGAUAUCUGGAGGAAUACCGGUGGCGAAGGCGGUUCUCUGGGCCUUACCUGACGCUGGAGGAGCGAAAGCGUGGGGAGCGAACAGG